Molecule: long non-coding RNA, 416 nt
Organism: Caretta caretta (loggerhead turtle)
Lineage: Eukaryota; Metazoa; Chordata; Testudines; Cheloniidae
Source: RefSeq, a predicted model, not a curated record
UUUGUGUACAGAGAGAGAGACAACACACUGAGACUGAGUGGCUCUGCCUGACCAAACAAUGGAGUAGCAGUCUCCUGGAUAGGCCCUGAUGGAUAAUCCUUCUGACUAGAACAAAAACUGUUUGAGCAGUGUGAGUUAGAGAACCAUACUGAGAGACGCACGACUCACAGCUGAUACAUGCUGCUGGCAUUACAGACCUUAUCCAAUGAGCCUGAAGUCAUUGGAAAGAAUGCCAUUGACUUGAAUAGGUUUUGAAUCAGGAACUAUUUCAUUUUGUUGACCAACAGGAUUUGCUUGAGUGACAUCAACACUGGAAUCCCAAUCUGAAUCCAUGACUGAGAGCUGUAGUAUAACCCUCACAAUUUAAUGAACUGCCAGGAUCUGCUUCGUUACCUCAAACACCGAAGAAUAAGAAG